This 247-nucleotide ribosomal RNA is filed under the name uncultured bacterium. RNAcentral's name for it is "partial 16S ribosomal RNA". It matches the Rfam family "Bacterial small subunit ribosomal RNA", at positions 523 to 769 of the family's 1533-position model. The record is from RNAcentral.
AUACGUAGGGAGCGAGCGUUGUCCGGAAUUAUUGGGCGUAAAGGGUGCGUAGGCGGUAAUCCAAGUCAGAUGUGAAAUCCCCGGGCUUAACUCGGGUGUUGCAUUUGAAACUGGAUUACUUGAGUGCAGGAGAGGAAAGCGGAAUUCCUAGUGUAGCGGUGAAAUGCGUAGAUAUUAGGAGGAACACCAGUGGCGAAGGCGGCUUUCUGGACUGUAACUGACGCUGAGGCACGAAAGCGUGGGGAGC